CUUUACUAUACGCUGGCAUUGUGAUGUUGGUCUGCGUGUGCAGGAUAGGUGGGAGACUUUGAGACCGUGGCGUCAGCUGCGGUGGAGUCAUCCUUGAGAUACCACCCUCGUAUUCUGAUAUCACUCACCCUGUCUCUGAAACGGAGCAGGGGACCGUGCUUGCUGGGUAGUUUAACUGGGGCGGUUGCCUCCUAAAGUGUAACGGAGGCGCGCAAAGGUCAACUAGCGCCGGAUGGAAAUCGGCGCGGUCGUGUAAUCGCACACGUUGGCCUGACUGUGAGACUUACAAGUCGAGCAGGGACGAAAGUCGGUGAUAGUGAUCCGGCAACCUGAGUAUAUUUAUAUGCUCUUCCCACGUGGGUGGGUUG
This 368-nucleotide ribosomal RNA is filed under the name uncultured organism. RNAcentral's name for it is "bacterial LSU rRNA". It matches the Rfam family "Bacterial large subunit ribosomal RNA", at positions 2099 to 2444 of the family's 2925-position model. The record is from RNAcentral.